GGGUUGUGAGGUUAAGCGACUAAGCGUACACGGUGGAUGCCCUGGCAGUCAGAGGCGAUGAAGGGCGUGCUAAUCUGCGAUAAGCGCCGGUAAGGUGAUAUGAACCGUUAUAACCGGCGAUACGCGAAUGGGGAAACCCAGGGUGUUUCGACACACUCUCAUUAACUGAAUCCAUAGGUUAA
RNAcentral lists this ribosomal RNA (182 nucleotides) under Salmonella enterica subsp. enterica serovar Schwarzengrund. RNAcentral describes it as "partial 23S ribosomal RNA". It matches the Rfam family "Bacterial large subunit ribosomal RNA", at positions 1 to 174 of the family's 2925-position model. The record is from RNAcentral. Lineage: Bacteria; Pseudomonadati; Pseudomonadota; Gammaproteobacteria; Enterobacterales; Enterobacteriaceae.